RNAcentral lists this ribosomal RNA (1447 nucleotides) under uncultured bacterium. Its description in RNAcentral is "bacterial SSU rRNA". It matches the Rfam family "Bacterial small subunit ribosomal RNA". The record is from RNAcentral.
AGAGUUUGAUCAUGGCUCAGGAUGAACGCUGGCGGCGUGCUUAACACAUGCAAGUCGAACGAACCUUCGGGUUAGUGGCGGACGGGUGAGUAACGCGUGAGAAUCUGCCCUCAGGAGGGGGAUAACGGUUGGAAACGACCGCUAAUACCCCAUAUGCCUAUUGGUGAAAUGAAUUUCGCCUGAGGAUGAGCUCGCGUCUGAUUAGCUAGUUGGUGAGGUAAUGGCUCACCAAGGCUUCGAUCAGUAGCUGGUCUGAGAGGAUGAUCAGCCACACUGGGACUGAGACACGGCCCAGACUCCUACGGGAGGCAGCAGUGGGGAAUUUUCCGCAAUGGGCGAAAGCCUGACGGAGCAACGCCGCGUGAGGGAGGAAGGCCUCUGGGCUGUAAACCUCUUUUCUCAAGGAAGAAGAUAUGACGGUACUUGAGGAAUAAGCCACGGCUAAUUCCGUGCCAGCAGCCGCGGUAAUACGGGAGUGGCAAGCGUUAUCCGGAAUUAUUGGGCGUAAAGCGUCCGCAGGCGGCUUUUCAAGUCUGCUGUUAAAACGUGGAGCUUAACUCCAUCAUGGCAGUGGAAACUGAAAGGCUUGAGUAUGGUAGGGGCAGAGGGAAUUCCCGGUGUAGCGGUGAAAUGCGUAGAUAUCGGGAAGAACACCAGUGGCGAAGGCGCUCUGCUGGGCCAUUACUGACGCUCAUGGACGAAAGCCAGGGGAGCGAAAGGGAUUAGAUACCCCUGUAGUCCUGGCCGUAAACGAUGAACACUAGGUGUCGGGGGAAUCGACCCCUUCGGUGUCGUAGCUAACGCGUUAAGUGUUCCGCCUGGGGAGUACGCACGCAAGUGUGAACUCAAGGAAUUGACGGGGGCCCGCACAAGCGGUGGAGUAUGUGGUUUAAUUCGAUGCAACGCGAAGAACCUUACCAGGGUUUGACAUCCUGCGAACCUCUUAGAAAUUUGAGGGUGCCUUCGGGAAUGCAGUGACAGGUGGUGCAUGGCUGUCGUCAGCUCGUGUCGUGAGAUGUUGGGUUAAGUCCCGCAACGAGCGCAACCCACGUUUUUAGUUGCCAGCAUUUAGUUGGGCACUCUAGAAAGACCGCCGGUGAUAAACCGGAGGAAGGUGUGGAUGACGUCAAGUCAUCAUGCCCCUUACACCCUGGGCUACACACGUACUACAAUGCUACGGACAAAGGGCAGCAAACUCGCGAGAGCUAGCAAAUCCCAUAAACCGUGGCUCAGUUCAGAUCGUAGGCUGCAACUCGCCUACGUGAAGUAGGAAUCGCUAGUAAUCGCAGGUCAGCAUACUGCGGUGAAUACGUUCCCGGGCCUUGUACACACCGCCCGUCACACCAUGGAAGUUGGCCAUGCCCGAAGUCGUUACUCCAACCCUUGUGGAGGAGGACGCCGAAGGUGGGGCUAAUGACUGGGGUGAAGUCGUAACAAGGUAACCGUA